UGAACGCUGGCGGCGUGCCUAAUACAUGCAAGUCGAGCGAACAGAUGAGGAGCUUGCUCCUCUGACGUUAGCGGCGGACGGGUGAGUAACACGUGGAUAACCUACCUAUAAGACUGGGAUAACUUCGGGAAACCGGAGCUAAUACCGGAUAAUAUAUUGAACCGCAUGGUUCAAUAGUGAAAGACGGUUUUGUUGUCACUUAUAGAUGGAUCCGCGCCGCAUUAGCUAGUUGGUAAGGUAACGGCUUACCAAGGCGACGAUUCGUAGCCGACCUGAGAGGGUGAUCAGCCACACUGGAACUGAGACACGGUCCAGACUCCUACGAGAGGCAGCAGUAGGGAAUCUUGCGCAAUGGGCGAAAGCCUGACGGAGCAACGCCGCGUGAGUGAUGAAGGUCUUCGGAUCGUAAAACUCUGUUAUUAGGGAAGAACAAAUGUGUAAGUAACUAUGCACGUCUUGACGGUACCUAAUCAGAAAGCCACGGCUAACUACGUG
This 495-nucleotide ribosomal RNA is filed under the name uncultured bacterium. RNAcentral's name for it is "partial 16S ribosomal RNA". It matches the Rfam family "Bacterial small subunit ribosomal RNA", at positions 30 to 507 of the family's 1533-position model. The record is from RNAcentral.